This 439-nucleotide ribosomal RNA is filed under the name uncultured bacterium. RNAcentral describes it as "bacterial SSU rRNA". It matches the Rfam family "Bacterial small subunit ribosomal RNA", at positions 359 to 795 of the family's 1533-position model. The record is from RNAcentral.
GAAUAUUGGUCAAUGGACGCAAGUCUGAACCAGCCAUGCCGCGUGGAGGAUGAAGGUCCUCUGGAUUGUAAACUUCUUUUCUCUGGGACGAAACCCCCGAUAUCUAUCGGGCCUGACGGUACCAGAGGAAUAAGCACCGGCUAACUCCGUGCCAGCAGCCGCGGUAAUACGGAGGGUGCAAGCGUUAUCCGGAUUUACUGGGUUUAAAGGGAGCGUAGGCGGGCAGUUAAGUCAGUGGUGAAAUCUCUGGGCUUAACCCGGAAACUGCCACUGAUACUAUCUGUCUUGAAUAUUCUGGAGGUAAGCGGAAUAUGUCAUGUAGCGGUGAAAUGCUUAGAUAUGACAUAGAACACCCAUUGCGAAGGCAGCUUACUACGGGAUUAUUGACGCUGAGGCUCGAAAGCGUGGGGAUCAAACAGGAUUAGAUACCCCAGUAGUC